CGCGUAGGCGGCGCGGUAAGUCACCUGUGAAAUCUCCAGGCUUAACUUGGAGCCUGCAGGCGAAACUGCCGUGCUCGAGUGUGGGAGAGGUGCGUGGAAUCCCCGGUGUAGCGGUGAAAUGCGUAGAUAUCGGGAGGAACACCUGUGGCGAAAGCGGCGCACUGGACCACAACUGACGCUGAGGCGCGAAAGCUAGGGGAGCAAACAGGAUUAGAUACCCUGGUAGUCCUAGCCCUAAACGAUGAUUGCUUGGUGUAGCCGGUACCCAAUCCGGCUGUGCCGCAGCUAACGCGAUAAGCAAUCCGCCUGGGGAGUACGGUCGCAAGGCUGAA
RNAcentral lists this ribosomal RNA (332 nucleotides) under uncultured bacterium. RNAcentral describes it as "bacterial SSU rRNA". It matches the Rfam family "Bacterial small subunit ribosomal RNA", at positions 568 to 898 of the family's 1533-position model. The record is from RNAcentral.